GACGAACGCUGGCGGCGUGCUUAACACAUGCAAGUCGAACGGUAAGGCCCUUCGGGGUACACGAGUGGCGAACGGGUGAGUAACACGUGGGUGAUCUGCCCUGCACUUCGGGAUAAGCCUGGGAAACUGGGUCUAAUACCGGAUAGGACUCCUGGCUUCAUGGUUGGGGGUGGAAAGCUUUUGCGGGGUGGGAUGGGCCGGGGGCCUCUCAGCUUGUUGGUGGGGUAAUGGCCUACCAAGGCGACGACGGGUGGCCGGCCGUGGAGGGUGGCCGGUGACACUGGGAAUGGGAUACGGCGCAGGCGCCGACGGGAGGCAGCAGGGGGGAAUAUGGCACAAUGGGCGCGAGCCUGAUGCAGCGACGCCGGGUGGGGGAUGACGGCCUUCGGGUUGUAAACCUCUUUCAGCUAUGACGAAGCGCAAGUGACGGUAGUAGCAGAAGAAGGACCGGCCAACUACGUGCCAGCCGCCGCCGUAA
RNAcentral lists this ribosomal RNA (478 nucleotides) under uncultured bacterium. RNAcentral describes it as "partial 16S ribosomal RNA". It matches the Rfam family "Bacterial small subunit ribosomal RNA", at positions 28 to 523 of the family's 1533-position model. The record is from RNAcentral.